Molecule: ribosomal RNA, 493 nt
Filed under: uncultured bacterium
Lineage: Bacteria
Description: bacterial SSU rRNA
Rfam family: Bacterial small subunit ribosomal RNA
Source: RNAcentral
AUUGAACGCUGGCGGCAUGCCUUACACAUGCAAGUCGAACGGCAGCACGGGAGCUUGCUCCUGGUGGCGAGUGGCGAACGGGUGAGUAAUACAUCGGAACGUACCCUGAAGUGGGGGAUAACGUAGCGAAAGUUACGCUAAUACCGCAUAUUCUGUGAGCAGGAAAGAGGGGGAUCGCAAGACCUCUUGCUUUAGGAGCGGCCGAUGUCGGAUUAGCUAGUUGGUGAGGUAAAGGCUCACCAAGGCGACGAUCCGUAGCGGGUCUGAGAGGAUGAUCCGCCACACUGGGACUGAGACACGGCCCAGACUCCUACGGGAGGCAGCAGUGGGGAAUUUUGGACAAUGGGCGCAAGCCUGAUCCAGCCAUGCCGCGUGAGUGAAGAAGGCCUUUGGGUGUAAAGCUCUUUCGGUGGGAAGAAAUUGCUUCGGUUAAUACCUGGAGUAGAUGACGGUACCCGCAUAAGAAGCACCGGCUAACUACGUGCCAGCAGCC